CUAAAGGUUUAUGGGAUCAAGGCCCGUCGAUCUAG
Molecule: transfer RNA, 35 nt
Filed under: Delma torquata
Lineage: Eukaryota; Metazoa; Chordata; Lepidosauria; Squamata; Pygopodidae
Description: partial tRNA-Asn
Source: RNAcentral